Non-coding RNA from Callithrix jacchus (white-tufted-ear marmoset), 4883 nucleotides. The record is from RefSeq and is a predicted model, not a curated record. Lineage: Eukaryota; Metazoa; Chordata; Mammalia; Primates; Cebidae.
AAAGCAAAGCACACUGCCAUGUGUGUACCUACGCAACUGUCUUGCAUGCUCUGCUCAUGUACCCCAAAACCUAUAAUCCAAUAAAAAAUUAAAAAAAAAAAAAAAAAAAAAAAAAGAAAUUCUAAAAGGAGUUCUAAAUCUUGAAACAAAAGCUUGAUAGGCAGCAAAAUAGAACUUCUUAAAAGCAUAAAACUCACAAGGCCUAUGAAACAAUAACACAAUGAAAAAUACAAAGUAUCUAGGUAACAGUUAACAUGAUGAAUGGGACAGUAUCUCACAUCUCAAUAUCAAUGUAAAACAUAAAUUGCUUAAAUGCUCCACUUAAAUGAUACAGAUUGGCCGGAAGAAAAAAUUACAAACCAAGUAUCUGCUGUCUGUAAGAGAUUCACCUAACAUGUAAGGAUUUAUAUAAACUCAAGAUGAAGAGGUAGAAAAAGAUACUCCAUGCAAAUGGACACCAAAAGCAAGCAGAAGUGGCUAUUCUUACAUCAAAUAAAACAGACAUUAAAGCAACAACAGUGAAAAAAAAGACAAAGAAGGUCAUUAUACAGUGAUAAAAGGAUCAAUCCAACAAGAAGGUAUUAUAAUCCUAAAUUUAUAUGUGCCUAACACUGGAGCUCCCAGAUUCAUAAAACAAUUACCACUAGACCUAUGAAAUGAGAUGAGUAGCAACAUAAUAAUAGUGGGGAACUUCAGUAUUCCACUGACAGUACCAUAUAGAUCAUCAAGACAAAGUCAACAACAACAACAAAAAAAUAGACUUAAAUGACACUCUAGAACAAAUGGACCUUACAGACGUUUAAAUAACAUUCUACCCAAGAUAUGCACAAUAUACAUUCUUCUCAUCAAUACAUUUAACAUUCUCCAAGAUAGACCAUAUGAUAGGCCACAAAGCAAGUCUUAACAAAUUUAUAAACAUCAAAAUUAUAUAUCAAGUAUUAUCUGAGACCACAGUGGAAUAAAAGUAGAAAUUAACUCCAAAAGAAACCCUUGAAACCAUACAAAGACAUGGAAAUUAAACAAUCUGCUCCUGAAUGAUUUUUGGAUUAACAAUGAAAUGAAGAUGGAAAUUAAAAAAUUCUUUUAAAUGAAUGAUAGUAGUGACAGAUUAUUAAAACCUCUGAGAAACAGCAAAAGAAGUGCUAAUAGGAAAGUUUAUAGUGCUAAAUGCCUACAUCAAAAAAUAUGAAAGAUCACAAAUUGACAGUCUAAUAUCACACCUCAAGGAACUAGAAAAAUGACAAAAACCCAAAGCUACCAGAAGAAAAGAAAUAAUAAAGAUCAAAGCAGAACUAAAUGAAAUUGAAACAAAAAAAAUGCAAAAAAUUAAACCAAAAACUGGUUCUCUGAAAACAUAAACAAAAUUGAUAUACUAUUAGUUAGAUUAACCAAGAAAAGAAGAGAGAAAAUUCAAAUUAUGGUCAUUUGAGACUACUAACAACACCUCUCUGCACACAAACUAGAAAAUCUAGAGGAAAUGGAUAAAUUCCUGGAAACAUACAACUCUCCUAGAUUAAAUCAGGAAGAAAUAGGUCCCCUGAACAGACCAAUAACAAACAAUAAGAUUGAAUGAGUAAUUAAAAAAAAAUUGCUAGCAACAAAAAAGCCCGGGGCCAGAUGAAUUCUGAUGUGAAUUCUCCCAGACGUUAAGAGAAUAAUUGGUACCAAUUCAAAUGAAGUAUUUCAAAAGAUUGAGAAAGAGGUAAUCCUCCCUAAAACAUUCUAUGAAGCCAGUAUCACCCUGAUUCCAAAACCAGGAAAGAACAUUAAAAAAAAGAAACUACAGACCAAUAUCCCUGAUAAACAUAGAUGCAAAAAUCCUCAAUAAAAUACUAGCUAACCAAAUCAAACAGCACAUCAAAAAGAUCAAGCAGGUUGAUCAAACCUACCAUAAUCAAGUGGGCUUCAUCCCAGGGAUGCAGGGAUGGUUUAACAUAUGCAAGUCAAUAAUUGUAACACAUCACAUAAACAGAAUUAAAAACAUGAUUGGCCUGUAAGGACGCGGAUCCUGCCCCGCCAGGUGGAAGAGAGCUCAAGCUAAGGGUGAUCAGCCUAUGACCUAGACCUCUAGACAAAAUAAAGCAGGGAAAAUUUGCUAGAAUCAAGAAUGAUGGAUCCAUGCUCAGUUGGAGUCCAGCUUUGUACUACAAAUGAGUGCCAUAAAACAUACUAUACUCGUCACACAGGUUUUAAGACUUUGCAAGAAUUGUCAUCAAAUGAUAUGCUUUUACUUCAACUUAGAACUGGAAUGACACUUUCUGGGAACAAUACAAUUUGCUUUCAUCAUGUAAAAAUUUACAUUGACAGAUUUGAGGAUUUACAGAAGUCAUGUUGUGACCCAUUUAACAUACACAAAAAACUAGCAAAAAAGAAUUUGCAUGUAAUUGACUUAGAUGAUGCCACUUUUCUGAGUGCAAAAUUCGGAAGACAGCUUGUACCUGGUUGGAAGCUUUGUCCAAAAUGCGCACAGAUAAUCAACAGAAGUGUGGGUGUUGAUACUGAAGACCGCCAGAGAAGGAAACCUGAGUCAGAUGGAAGAAUUGAGAAAGCUUUGAGAUCAUUACAAUUUACAAAUCCAGGAAGGCAAACUGAAUUUGCUCUAGAAACUGGUAAAAGAGAGAAAAGAAGGCUUAUAAAAAAUGCAACCGCUGGUUCAGACAGGUGAUACCAGCGAAGAGUAAGGUCUAUGUUAGCCAGGGGCUCCUGAUUUUUAGUGGGAUGGACCUCUGUGACUGACUUGAUGAAGAUUGCUUAGGAUGUUUCCAUGCUUGUCCUGCCUAUGGUUCUACCAAAUGUGGAGCUGAAUGCCACUGUGACCGCAAGUGGCUGUAUGAGCAAAUUGAAAUUGAAGGAGGCGAAAUAACUCAUAAUAAACACUCUGGAUAACCUGUGGUAUCAAACUAUGGGGCCUUUGAAGGUCUUUAUUUCUAAAAUUCUGUUACUCUAAGAUGCAUUUUAAGCUUGAUUGUCAAAUGACAGAGAUUUUGAAACCACCUCAAUGUGCAGUAAUUUUUCAUCUUCGAUGCUUUAAAAUUCACUAUUUGAUAUAAAUUUAGAUAGGCUAUUUCUCAGUAGUCAGUGUUAAGCCUGUCUGGAUCAGUAUAAACAAGUAGAGGGUGCAGGAAGUCCUCACUUUGCAUGGUUCCCAUGGGCACAAAUUUCAAUGACCUAGAUUUAAACACCACCAGUUUCCUUACCAGGAAGGAAAGGAAACUGGUGAUGUUUAAAUCUAAGUUAAAAUUUUAGUUAGCACAGUAUAACUAUGAGUAAUUACAUGAGGUACAAACUUCUCUGCUAGUUCUUCAGUUUACAGAUCACUAAGUAAAUAACAGAUAUGCUUCAUGAUCAGUGACCAGUCAUGUUACUUCUUUCAAAUUCUUCCAGUGGUUGAUCCCUGUGCAUCUGUUACUCAGUUCACUCACAGCAGAGCACGUAGUUAUGCUGUCUUUUUGUCAUCCACUUGACAUUUUAUAAAAGGGAACAAUUAGCCAACAAAGAUCAAAGUGCAGCAAAGCAAUGAAAAAUAGUAAUAACACUGGAAGUGAAAUUUGAAUCAAACAUAAAUUGAUUUGUAGAAGUCACUGAUCAUGGGAAUGUUGUUCUUGCUGCUAUGCAUUCAUAGGAGCUUAGUGAAGGCAAACUUAUCAGUACAUGUAAGAAAAGUGGUUGCAGUAAAGAUAAAUGUGUCCCGGCCAGGUGCAGUGGCUCACACCUAUAAUCCAUGAACCGAGGAUUACAGACGGGCCACGUAAUUGGGAGGCUGAGGUGGACAAAUCACAAGGUCAGGAGUUGGAGACCAGCAUGGCCAACAUGGUGAAACUCCAUCUCUACUAAAAAUACAAAAAAUUAGCUUGCCAUAGUGGCAUAUGCCUGUAAUCCCAUCUACUCGGGAGGCUGAGGCAGGAGAUUCACUUGAACCUAGGAGGCAGAGGUUGCAGUGAGCCGAGAUCGUGCCACUGCACUCCAGCAACAGGAAAGAAAAAAUGUCCCAGAGGAAGGGAAAAAUGCAUUAAAGAAUAUUUAAUGUUAGCUGGGCGCGGUGGCUCACGCCUAUAAUCCCAGCACUUUGGGAGGCCAAGGAGGGUGGAUCACAAGGUCAAGAGAUCAAGACCAUCCUAGUCAACAAGGUGAAACCCCGUCUCUACUAACAAUACAAAAAAUAGCGGGGUGUGGUGGUGCAUGCCUGUAGUCCCAGCUACUCAGGAGGCUGAGGCAGGAGAAUUACUUGAACCCAGGAGGCGGAGGUUGUGGUGAGCCGAGAUCGUGCCAUUGCACUCCAGUCUGGGUAACAACAGCGAAACUUCGUCUCAAAAAAAAAAAAGAAUAUUUAAUGUGAAUACAGAAAUAUUUCAAAAGCACAAGCAAUAAAAGCUGGGAAGCUGACCGAAACUUAAAAAGGUGGUAUGACAGUUUGUCAUGAAUAGAAAAGAUGCUUACUCAGUACCAUAAGUUACUUGGCAGAAGAAAAGGCAAGCCCUAUUCAAACUACUUAGUUUCUACAAUGAAAUAAAACAGUUUAAUUCUAUUUCUAAUGUUUUAAAUUACAGUGUACUAUAUAAAUAGUAUUAAACUUUUUUGCAUUUUUUUCCUACAUUUACAAGUGAUCUUAAGAGUUUUUAAUAUUUUAGCAGAAUUUUAAAGGUCAUGGAACAGUCAUUUUCCCCAUUGAUAUUAAGACUGUUUUGCAUGGCCAUUUUUAUGGUCCCACAAUACUGUGCAAAAUGAGGACUGCUUGUACCUGGGAACAAUGCCUGCUUCAGGGAAGACUGAUUUGACAGAACUGACUAGUUGAGUGUUAAACUAUUUUGGAAAUAAUCUACAUAUCUAAGUGCUGAAAUAUAUUUCUCUUCUCCCCAGUUAUUCAAAUAAAAAUGUUUUAAUAC